AAGUCGUAACAAGGUCUCCGUUGGUGAACCAGCGGAGGGAUCAUUACAGGAGCGUUCCGCUACGGAGCCCCCUACAACCCUCUGUGAACUGUCGCUAGUUGCAGUACUGCCUCCGGCGGGCGGCCUCUGGGAGAGGUCCUACGGCCUGGGUAACACCGGGUGCCUGCCGGAGGGAGCUAGACAGAACUCUUAUAACGCACCUUGCCGUCUGAGUCAACUGAAAAACAUAUUAAAACUUUCAACAACGGAUCUCUUGGUUCUG
RNAcentral lists this unclassified non-coding RNA (262 nucleotides) under fungal sp. RNAcentral describes it as "partial internal transcribed spacer region". The stretch from base 1 to 46 matches the Rfam family "Eukaryotic small subunit ribosomal RNA", at positions 1786 to 1831 of the family's 1831-position model. The record is from RNAcentral. Lineage: Eukaryota; Fungi.